UACGAAGGGGGCUAGCGUUGCUCGGAAUUACUGGGCGUAAAGGGCGCGUAGGCGGACAUUUAAGUUAGAGGUGAAAGCCCAGGGCUCAACCCUGGAAUAGCCUUUAAUACUGGAUGUCUUGAGUUCGGGAGAGGUGAGUGGAAUGCCGAGUGUAGAGGUGAAAUUCGUAGAUAUUCGGCGGAACACCAGUGGCGAAGGCGACUCACUGGCCCGAUACUGACGCUGAGGCGCGAAAGCGUGGGGAGCGAACGGG
Molecule: ribosomal RNA, 253 nt
Filed under: uncultured bacterium
Lineage: Bacteria
Description: partial 16S ribosomal RNA
Rfam family: Bacterial small subunit ribosomal RNA
Source: RNAcentral